Molecule: small nuclear RNA, 156 nt
Organism: Accipiter nisus (Eurasian sparrowhawk)
Lineage: Eukaryota; Metazoa; Chordata; Aves; Accipitriformes; Accipitridae
Gene: U1
Rfam family: U1 spliceosomal RNA
About the family: U1 is a small nuclear RNA (snRNA) component of the spliceosome (involved in pre-mRNA splicing).
Source: Ensembl
AUACUUGCCUGACAAGGGCAACAGCAUGAUCAGGAAGAUGGUUUUCUUGUGGUGUUUCAUCUAUUACCAUGUGGGUGUGCAUGACCCUUGAGGUUUAACCAGAAGUAGGAAACAUGACUGCAUAAUUUUGGGGUGGGGAGCACAUUCACACUCCCU